RNAcentral lists this ribosomal RNA (497 nucleotides) under uncultured bacterium. RNAcentral's name for it is "partial 16S ribosomal RNA". It matches the Rfam family "Bacterial small subunit ribosomal RNA", at positions 28 to 507 of the family's 1533-position model. The record is from RNAcentral.
GAUGAACGCUGGCGGCGUGCCUAAUACAUGCAAGUCGAGCGAACAGACGAGGAGCUUGCUCCUCUGACGUUAGCGGCGGACGGGUGAGUAACACGUGGAUAACCUACCUAUAAGACUGGGAUAACUUCGGGAAACCGGAGCUAAUACCGGAUAAUAUAUUGAACCGCAUGGUUCAAUAGUGAAAGACGGUUUUGCUGUCACUUAUAGAUGGAUCCGCGCCGCAUUAGCUAGUUGGUAAGGUAACGGCUUACCAAGGCGACGAGGCGUAGCCGACCUGAGAGGGUGAUCGGCCGCACUGGAACUGAGACACGGUCCAGACUCCUACGGGAGGCAGCAGUAGGGAAUCUUCCGCAAUGGGCGAAAGCCUGACGGAGCAACGCCGCGUGAGUGAUGAAGGUCUUCGGAUCGUAAAACUCUGUUAUUAGGGAAGAACAAAUGUGUAAGUAACUAUGCACGUCUUGACGGUACCUAAUCAGAAAGCCACGGCUAACUACGUG